GGGCCCGCACAAGCGGUGGAGUAUGUGGUUUAAUUCGAUGCAACGCGAAGAACCUUACCAGGACUUGACAUUUCGGGAAUCCCUUUGAAAGGAGGGAGUGCCGAAAGGAGCCCGAAAACAGGUGCUGCAUGGCUGUCGUCAGCUCGUGUCGUGAGAUGUUGGGUUAAGUCCCGCAACGAGCGCAACCCUCGUCGUUAGUUGCCAUCAUUAAGUUGGGAACUCUAGCGAGACUGCCGGUGACAAACCGGAGGAAGGUGAGGAUGACGUCAAGUCAGCAUGGCCCUUACGUCCUGGGCGACACACGUACUACAAUGCUAAGGACAGAGAGCAGCCAACCCGCGAGGGUGAGCGAA
Molecule: ribosomal RNA, 353 nt
Filed under: uncultured bacterium
Lineage: Bacteria
Description: bacterial SSU rRNA
Rfam family: Bacterial small subunit ribosomal RNA
Source: RNAcentral